RNAcentral lists this unclassified non-coding RNA (328 nucleotides) under soil metagenome. RNAcentral's name for it is "partial contains 5.8S ribosomal RNA, internal transcribed spacer 2, and large subunit ribosomal RNA". The stretch from base 1 to 120 matches the Rfam family "5.8S ribosomal RNA", at positions 35 to 154 of the family's 154-position model. The record is from RNAcentral.
GAUGAAGAACGUAGCGAAAUGCGAUAAGUAAUGUGAAUUGCAGAAUUCAGUGAAUCAUCGAAUCUUUGAACGCACAUUGCGCCCCCUGGUAUUCCGGGGGGCAUGCCUGUUCGAGCGUCAUUAUAACCCCUCAAGCUCAGCUUGGUGUUGGGGCCUGCCGCACGGGCAGCCCUUAAAAUCAGUGGCGGUGCCAUCUGGCUCUAAGCGUAGUAAUUCUUCUCGCUAUAGAGUCCCGGUGGAUGCUUGCCAUUAACCCCCAAUUUUCUAUGGUUGACCUCGGAUCAGGUAGGGAUACCCGCUGAACUUAAGCAUAUCAAUAAGCGGAGGA